This 427-nucleotide ribosomal RNA is filed under the name uncultured bacterium. Its description in RNAcentral is "bacterial SSU rRNA". It matches the Rfam family "Bacterial small subunit ribosomal RNA", at positions 354 to 796 of the family's 1533-position model. The record is from RNAcentral.
GCAAGGAAUUUUGCACAAUCGACGCAAGUCGGAUGCAGCAACGCCGCGUGGGGGAAGAAGGGCUUCGGCUUGUAAACCCCUUUUGCGAGGGAAGAAGAUCUGACGGUACCUCGCGAAUAAGUCACGGCUAACUACGUGCCAGCAGCCGCGGUAAUACGUAGGUGGCAAACGUUGUCCGGAUUCACUGGGCGUAAAGCGCGCGCAGGCGGAUUGGUCAGUCUGGGGUGAAAUCUCUCGGCUCAACUGAGAGAGGUCCCUGGAUACUGCCAGUCUUGAGGGGCUCAGAGGAGAGUGGAAUUCCGCGUGUAGUGGUGGAAUGCGUAGAUACGCGGAGGAACACCAGUGGCGAAAGCGGCUCUCUGGGGGCCACCUGACGCUGAGGCGCGAAAGCGUGGGGAGCGAACCGGAUUAGAUACCCCUGUAGUCC